This 10620-nucleotide long non-coding RNA is filed under the name Oryza brachyantha (malo sina). RNAcentral describes it as "long non-coding RNA (OBRA_LNC000334)". The record is from RNAcentral. Lineage: Eukaryota; Viridiplantae; Streptophyta; Magnoliopsida; Poales; Poaceae.
AUAGUUUGAAUUUUGUGGAUAGAGGACAAAAAUUUAUCAAUGCACCACUUUUUUUAGAUAAAAGUCCUUGAGCCCUGGUUUAAAGCCUUUUACUGAAAGCAGAUCAUAAACAAAUUACGGGUGCUGGGGUUACCAGCUCACAAUCCAGGUUCAGAACACAGAAACUAAAACUCAGUUUAACUAGCCACAGCCAAAACAGACUAACACUAAACAAACCCUUACUCACAAUACAAUCAUCCCACCAAAUAUCUUCCAAAGACCAAAAGAAAGAAAACAGUCUAUCCCACUCCAGUUCUCCAUCUGAUAUGAUUCAGAUUACUAGCCACUCCCUGGAUCUCCCGAAUCAUUUGUUCCAUGCCAUCUUCUUCGUUUUGCUUCAGCAACGUCUUCCAGUGCCUAAGAAGCAAAAUGAGAUGAAAAAUAAUUGUUAAAGGGGAAGUAAUCGGUUUCUUUCUAAAGAUCAUAUCAUUUCUAACAAUCCAAAGAUUCCAGCUAACAGCCACAAGCAAGGCAACUCUAAUUCGCACUUGUUUGUUACCAGCUCUCCCUAGCAUUAACCAAUGAAAAUGUUCAAAAUUAGUAGGAAUCAUACUCCAACCCAAAGCAUCUCUGCAAAUGCACCACACAAAAACAUCCGUAGGGCAAUCAAAAAUAAUAUGUUGAGUAUUCUCUAUUAGGCUGCAUCUGCAACAGAAUUCAGAGCCACCCCAACCUCUCUCUUUUGAUUGCACUGGCAAUUGUAUUCUAUCUUUUUCUGCUAGCCAAAGAAAAUGUUUAAAUUUCAGAGGGCAAGAGGUGUUCCAGAUAUCCUCCAUUCUAGCAUCCUUUACACAUCUAAGCCUUAGAGUUCUGUACAUAGAUCUAACAGUAAAACUCUUAGUGUUUUCUAGCUCCCAUUAGAUUUUGUCAACAUCUCCUACUAGUUGAACAUCUCUAAUUUUUGCUUCUAGCUCAUGCCAACAUCUUAAAGUCAAAAUCAAUAAAAGAUCUUCUAAAAGUUAGAUUAUGAAAAUUACCAUCCACCACCUCUUCAACCAUUGCCUCUUGUUGAUUACAAAUGUUAAAAAUAUUACUAUACAUUACUUUUAGUGAUACAUCAUAAAGCCAAACAUCAUUCCAAAAAUUGACCUGGUUUCCAUAUCCUAGUGACCACUUGCUAUCUAUCUUAAAUCACCUCUUAAUUUGUAACAAACCUUUCCAAAAUUGAGAAGCACCAGAUCCAUCACUUUGGAAGAAACAAGAACCAUAAGAUAUUUCCUCCUUAGGAGGUUCAGACAAGGACUCCUCAGACAUAAUAUCAAAAAUCCAUUUGGAUAACAAAGCAAUAUUCAUACUUCUAGUGUUAGUAAACCCAAGCCUCCAAACUCUUUAGGUAGAGUCAGAUCACUCCACUUGAUCAUAUGAUACUUCCUUUUCUCACUAAUGCCAACCCAGUAAAAUUUCCCUCUAAUAGAAUUCAUUUAUUUUUAUUAGUCAAACUCUUCUUGCGUUCCCUUUCCUUUUCUUCCUCCACCUCAUUAAAACUCUUAUCCUGCACCACAGGAUCAAAUAACAUAUCCUUCUCCAAUUUUUCUUCCUUUUUCAGUUGCUCAUUCCCCAAGCUGAUUCAGCUAUGCACCAUUUUUUUAUUGGGCUGCUGGAGGAUUUUGGUUCUAACAUACUGUCCAUGAUGCAGGAGCUUGCAACCGUGGUCCCAACACUUGAUACUUCAGGACUUGAUCUUCUAUCUGUAAGUGACCUGUUGAUGUUAUUGAUUCCAUGCUGCAUUUCAUAUGAUUUCCCCGCAGAAACAAAGGCCACUUUUCCUUUGUAGUUUACUCAUUAUUUCUGUUAUAUAUAUUCGGCUUGGUGGUGUUUGGGUUGUUUAGUGGACUAUUGGGAUUGUUGCCAGGUUCUAAACUUGAGUUCCCACAUUAAUUCGGGCACACAUGUGAACACAUUCCCUUCUCUGUAGUAUAUUUUGCCAUGCUAUAAGCAGUAAACAGACAGUAGGUGCAUCUUGAUUGUCACCUAUCAGGCUGUAGCCAUGUAUUCAUUUCUCUUGCUAUGUUGGUCGGAGUGCACUUUAUUAGUUGUAUGUAGACAGGGAAGUCUCUAACAUGGAUAUUGGGUAAUUGGAGUCUGUCCAUUCUCAUUAUAUGGCUGUACCGCCAUUUACAUUAAACACCAAGCAAAAAAUUGCAUUGCUUAUGAAUUUAUUUUUUUAAUCCGUGUGAAGCAUUGUAUGCUGAAUCACACGUAUCAGAAUUAGAGCACACACUACCAAGAACUAGAUGAUAUACUAUCAGUGACAUUAUUUGCUUCCCACCUUUCAUUUCUCCAUCACAAACACUUUUAUUUUCUGUUUUUGUGCAUCCAUGCCCUUGCUGACUGCUGUACUCGCCUCACACAGAAAAUGCUCCGUUUAGAUCCAAGCACAAGAAUCACCGCCCGUGCUGCCCUCGAGCACGAGUACUUCAAGGACCUGGAAGUAGCGUAGAUUAUGUUUCAUCUUGCCCCAUUGUAAAUUAAAAUUGCAUUGAUUGCUCAGCCGAGUUCUUUUUUGGCUUUCCCUAAUCUAAGUUCGUGUGCUCUUCCCCCAUUCUUAUUUUUGCCCUUCGGUUGUGUAGAGAUGAGAACAGAAGGUACCACCUUGCUGUCUCCGUGUAAGUCGUUCCAAUUAAGAAAGAUCCUUUUUCUGGGAGCUCUACGUUGCAAUUUUGUGUCCUAUCUUAUCUUUUUUCACUUGUGCUUAUACUUAUUAUAAACCAAAAUUGAAAUUUUUAACCUUAAAUUUGGAGUUGAUUUUGGGUUCUCUUAUCGUAGUUUAUUUUUCAGCCUUAGUUUUUAGAUUACUAAGAACAUAUAUAUAAACGUUUAUUUAAAUAUUAUUUUUUGUUUGCAAAUACAUCGUUUCAUUAUCCGUGAAGCCUAGAUCCAAGGUCCCAGAGCAUUGCCUGGUCAUUAAUCUGCCAAUAUGGCAUGGACUUCUCCAGCCAACCAAUCAGUUUAAUUUCACUAUUUUACGGCAUUUUUCAACUGAUGUGAAAAUGUUUGAUCUUAUAUCUUCUUUAAAGAUUUGACAUACUUCACUUGCUGGAAUACAUGCUCAUGGGAAUGGACCAUUGGAAUCAGAAAGAAAGUUACUGUUGCAUUUGGCCUCACGCCUGAAUGUUGCUAUGGAUCGGAGGACCAAUGACAAUGAAUCGAUUUUUGUAUGCAAGCGAUGGCGAUGUUCUUGUGCAGUGGAGUAUACAAGAGGAGGAUUCAGCAGGACGAGUUAAUGGCCUUAAAUUGUGUCCCCAAGAAGCAGCGAAAGCAGUUGGACAAUACUGUUGCAGACUUGCAGGUGCAGUGCAGGGUAAAUAUAAAGUGAGGCACAUGUAAAAGCCGUCUGCAAUGACACCGUCACGAAGAUGACGUGAAUAUGUCUGAAAAUUAUCAAAUCAUCUGUCGGUUUAUAUGUACCUAGACAUUUUACGUGACGUGUUUGGAUGGAUAUGUUGAUUGAUAAAAUGUCCUUGCACGUGGAAAUGUGACAAUUUUAAAUCUUGAGUAAAUUGCAUAAAACUAUAUAUAUAUAUAUAUAUAUUGAUUAAAUUAUCCCAAAACUAUAUAUUUAAAGUGAUGUAUCGGAAAACUAUAGAUUUAAUUCUAAAUUUAUCACAAGACUAUAGAUCAAAGAUUGAAAUUAUCCAAAAGUUACACAUUUUAGAGUUUAAAUCCCUAUCACUACCAUUGUAUUCGAGCUAUGAACAUUUUAGUUUUGUGAUAGAAUUAACAUUAAGUACAUAAAUAUGUGACAAUUUUGUUGCUAAAUCUAUUGUUUUGCAAUGCUUAAUAUAAAAUUUACAGUUUUAUGAUAAAAUUGCCACUAAAUUUGUAGUUUUAUGAUAGUUUGAUAAAAGUUCAUAUAGUUUUGUGAAAUUUGCCCUAAAAUCUCUAUGUGAAUUUAAAAUUAAGGAAUAAAUCUUACAAAUUGCAUAUGGUUGCGCAAGGAGAAAAUAAGGGCAUGUUUGGUUACCUUCUCCAAGCCAGGCUUGCAUCCGUGCAUGCAAUUGAUGAUGUUUAGUUGCCUGCACGCGCUUUAGGAUCAGGCUCCGAGCAUGCAAAAUCGCCUCUCCAGUUAGGCUCAAGAGAAACGCUCGGGUCGAGCUUUACUCCUCGUCCGAGCAUGGCGUCUGCAGAUGCGAGGAUAUCAAGAGGAGCAGCCUGAGGUCGAUGAGAUCUAGGCGACUAUUUUUAGGUUUUUUAAUCGAUAUAAUAUGUGUAUUUGCUGAUUUUUGUGAAAAUAAUUUAUGAAUAAAAAAUUAUAUACUUUUCGUAACGUCUAAAAAACCAAAUUCAAUUAAAAAUUUAAUUUUUAACUUAUAAAUAUAAUAAAAACGGAAAGAGGUCAAUGCUAGUUUAACCUGUCUAGAAUAACAUAACGGUGAGAGCAAAGCGUUAGGAUGCAAAUGGAUGGCCAGAAAGUUAUUUUGCACGCCACGCUCGGCCGACUUUUCCUCUGUGCGAGGGAGGCAGGUGACGGAGGGCCCACAUGGUGAGAGUGCGUGGAAAGGGCUGGUGGGUCCCACCGGACAGUGGGUGGGUAGCGGUGAAAAGAAACGGUGGGCCGUGGACCGGCGCGCGAGACUCGAGGCCAUAGGAGGGGGUGGUUUUGGCGUUUCGUUUUGAGUGAUUUGGGCGGGGUGGGGCCCACGUGUGCUCUUCAUCUUAUUUAAUUUUUUUGCGAUUAAUAUUUUUAUUGUUACUUGGUGAUAAAAUAUAAAUAAUAUUUUAUGUGUAAUUAAUUUUUUAAGUUUUUAUAAAUUUUUUAAAUAAAAAGGAUAACAAAAACGUUGGACAUAAAAAAAAUUAAAAUAAUUACGUGACAGCCCCAAAUUCGCGCCAAAUCCUGAUCAAGCUCAGCCAGCUUCGCGGGGGGUCGAGUUGACUUGACUAAAAGCACGGAUCCCGUCACCCGACUCGGUUACGCGGACCACACGUCCCUCCUGUGGUUUUUGGCGCGAAACGAGGCCAAAAUUUUUCCCGGCGUUGGCGGUGACCGCACCCGCCUUCCCGCGCCAUGUUAUCCGAAGCAUAUGGACUAUGUCAAACCCUCCCCAGCGCCCACGGACCCCAACGCGCAACGCUCGGUGUACAUGGACCACCGGGAGCGCGUGAGGUGGGAUAGUUGCGGUGCUGGUGGACCGGGAGCAUGGUGGGCGAGGGUUUUGGUCGUCUGGCCCAGCUGCAAUUUGUUUUUGCUAAUCAGGUUGCAUCUCGUGAUUAAACUUGAAAACAACGCGUGCUAACGAGGACUCGUUUGACCGGACCGUGUGGGUAUUGCUUCAUACGUGGCACGGGGUUGACACGGUGUGCCACGUCAGUAGCGGUUAUUGAUAGUCUGUCAGGCUCCAGAUGGAUGGACCAGGCUCAUACGCCAUCGCAAGACACGACUUUUUUACCCUUGAUUGAUAUAUGAUGCACAACAACAAGUGCCAUGGCGUAUUGAUUAUUUAUGCUAAUAUGUGAACUUAUGAGAUUGAGAUGCUCGUAAGUCAUAACAAUGGUUAGAACUAAUAUUCAUUUUUAUAGACAUAGAUAUAUGAAAACAAAACUAUACUCAAAGAUAUAAUGGCAAUAAAAGUUUUGAUCUUAUAGACUAGUAUCCUUAUGUUAGUAAAUUUUAAAUGUUACGUAGAAACGAUAGCAUGUCAAAAUUUAUUAGCAUAGAAAAUGUUCAUGAGGCUAGAACUAUGAACCAUGAUUAACCUAACAAGCACCAUCUAUCUCAUCUUCACAAUAAUUUCUUAUAAGAGCAUUAUGCUAAAACACUCAUGCACAACAUAAGUCAUAACAUUCAAUGCAACUCCAAGAUAGCAUAAUACUUUAAUUACUUUGCAACAUAAGGAGAUAUAAUUGUUCAGACCAACCGUUGUGAGCAGGGUUCACGAAACCGUGAGAGGACCUCCGACCGCGACAUGGUAGAGGUGCGGUUAUCGUACGGUAACCGCGGUAACCGUUGAUGCCACCACAAAAUCAAAUUUCAACUGUUCGUAUUCAAAAUCCAUGGUUACCGCAGCUUUGUCAUGCAAAACCACGCAAUUUGUAGUCAAAACCGUGUGAUUUGAGCAAAAAACCGUGACAAGCAUGAUCCGAAGGUAGAAAACUGUAAAGAAAAAUCUGAAAAACCGUAAAAACAAAAUAGUAGGUAGCUUUAACUAUAGGACAUGUUUUUGGGGAAAAAAGAAAAAUUGUGGCAUGACAUUUAUAAAAUCCGUGACAUUGCAAUAAAUAUAUACAUAACAAAUAAUAAGGCACAAUUAUUACACAAUAUAGAUGAUAUUCCAAACACAUUUCAAACCAUAAAUAGUAGAAUUGAUCAUAAAUAGGCUAGUGUCCAUACUCCAUAGACUAUAUGAUAAAUAGAGUGUCUAUGAUACAAUACAUAACAUAAUACCAAGCAAUAGUUCAAAUUUAAAUAUAGCAGUGUCCACUGUACAAUACAAAAUAUUUUGGUCCCCUCCAUGUUUUGCUCCAUUGCUCAUGGAUGAGGAUAGAUAUUUUGGUCCCCAACUUCUCUUGGGCCCUGACGGGCCUUCAAAUGAACAAUUCCAUUUUUUUUUCUUUUUGUUUGCCUUUUUCACUAAUGUUUUUAAAUAGUUGGGAAAUACAUAUUUUUCAUAUAUUUAUCACACAAAAUUAUAUUAUAAAUCAACCUCUACCUUUUUUUUGCUAAUUUUCUGAAAUUUUUAAAAUUCACCUCAAUUUUGGUGGUCCCUAUCGUGGCCGUGCCAUUAUCGUCCCUCAGCGGAGGUCGCAGUUAGCACAGCUUCACCGACCCUGACUGUGAGUCUAAUUUGUAGAUGCAUAAUACUAUUACAUAUAAUAUAUGUUGUGUUGUUAAAAAAGUCCAUUGAUACUACGAUACCUAUAAAAAAAACUCUUUAACCUUACAAUAUGGACAUAGACCAAUAUGCACCGUUCAUCUAACAAAAUUCAGACUUUAUACAAAGUUAAUAUCCCGUCUGUAGGGAAAAUCAACUACUCCCUCCAUUUCAUAAUGUAAGAUAUUUGACUUUUUUUGGUUGUACAUUUGACUAUUCGUUUUAUUCAAAAAUUUAGUAUAAAUAUAAAAAAUGAUAAGUCAUGCUUAAAGUUAUUUUGAUAAUAAAAUAAGUCAUAAGCAAAAUAAAUAAUAUUUCCAUAAUUUUUAAAAAUAAAACAAAUGAUUAACAUUAAGAAAUCAAACAUCUUAACCGAGAGAAGAGAGAGAGGGGUAUUUGACACACAUUGUCUUAACUGUUGUCACCGUAAUUUCAUGUGAAAAUAUUAAGGUGCGCACGCGACUGGCACGCCCCCCGUUUGAUAGUGACGACGGCACAGUCCAGCCCAAGUCGCCCCCUCCUCACAAGUCCACCACACACUCACAAGUCCACUCGUCUUCCCCUCACCCAUCCACGCCGCCGCCGCCUCCCGGAUCGCCCCGACAAUGGACCAGGUGAGCCCACCCGACCGCUCCCCUACUCCUGUCGUGUCCAGUCCAUCCUCGCCGGAUGGCGUGGGAGCUGGGAGGCCAUGGCGCUGACGAUGAGUGUGGUUUGGCCGGCGGCGCAGUACGAGAAGGUGGAGAAGAUCGGGGAGGGGACGUACGGCGUGGUGUACAAGGGGAAGGACCGGCAGACCAACGAGACGAUCGCGCUCAAGAAGAUCCGCCUCGAGCAGGAGGACGAGGGCGUCCCUUCCACUGCCAUCCGCGAGAUCUCGCUGCUCAAGGAGAUGCAGCACCGGAACAUCGUCAAGUAAGCCACCCCCGCCCGCGUCUCCCUCCCUCUUCCGGCCGCCGUCCCUCUGGUUGGUUGCGUCAAUGGAUUGUGAAUGCUUGCUUCUGCUGUGGAUUGUGCCGUCAGGCUGCAGGACGUCGUGCAUAACGAGAAAUGCAUAUACCUAGUCUUCGAGUACCUUGAUCUCGACCUCAAGAAGCACAUGGACUCCUCCCAGGAUUUCAAGAAUCACCGCAUAGUCAAAGUAAGAUGUUGACACUAACAUCCUCUUUUCUUUGUUUCACUGAAAGUGUGGAAUGCGCUAGUCAUUGUGUACUGAAACGGGGAAUGUGAUUGUGAUGCUAUCCCGUGCCACGAGUGCAGUCUUUCCUCUAUCAGAUUCUCCGGGGCAUUGCAUACUGUCACUCGCACCGUGUUCUCCACCGAGAUUUGAAGCCCCAGAACCUACUGAUAGAUCGGCGUACAAACUCAUUGAAGCUUGCUGACUUUGGAUUGGCCAGGGCAUUUGGCAUUCCUGUUCGGACAUUUACUCACGAGGUACAUUUUUUCAGCCUGUCAUGUUAUUUUUUUGAUUUUCAGUCCUUGCAAUGCACAACGCACUACAGAAGAGGGAAAUUGUCUAAUAGUGAAGAAGUGCAGCUACUUCUUAUGAGUUCCUCUAGAAAUUAACAUUGCAUCCUUCAGUACAAUGCAUUCGGAUGGGAGGCAUUCUAUUAAGUAGGUCACAUGUGUACUCCUUUGCUAUAUGUGUACUGUCUGAUUCAUUGAAUAUAAUGAAUGUAGUCAUGGAGAUAUGAAAAUUACGAACUAUGUCAUGACUGCCAACAGUAGAUUGAUGUCGCUCAUUAGUGCUCACUGUUUUUGUGGUACAUGUUAAGGUUGCUUGUGUUUCCCUUCACUCGUCACUUUCAUCAACUGUUUGAAGAAUCAAUGGUAGACAAUUUUCCUACCCUGCUUUCAUAGUGCAUUUUUCCCCAAAUUGCAUUUUUACUCCACUUUGUGGCAAUAUCUGGCAAAACCUAUAAAAUCAGCAUGAAUACCUGGACCUUUUUCUUUAGUGUGCACCAUCUAUUUCAACCUUUAUGACAACUCCUGCAAAAGAACAAUGCAAUUUCUAAACUUGAAAGGUGGACACAAAAAGGACUAAGUACAUGCAUACUGACAUACAUCGAAUAUAGGCUUUGGUAAAAAAAAAUCUGAAAGUUAACCAGAAUAAUUAUAGAGCAAUUUCCACAUGUUCUGUAUCUGGAAUGCUGCAGACCGUAGAUUAAAUUAUCCUAAUCUAGAAUAAUGGAUAACACAAUGAGAAUCUUUCUGUCUUGAUGGUUGAUGCAAGCCUAGCGCCAGGUUUGGACUGUAGCAGGCAUAGUAUUACCAAGAUCUUGUGAUGAACACCUUUUGCCCUUCUAUUUUUACUUUGUUUCGUCUUAACAUAACCCACUGUGGUUUGUUAGGUGGUGACAUUGUGGUACAGAGCACCUGAAAUUCUUCUUGGUGCAAGGCAUUAUUCCACCCCUGUUGACAUGUGGUCAGUUGGUUGCAUUUUUGCUGAAAUGGUGAAUCAGAAGCCACUAUUUCCUGGAGAUUCUGAGAUUGAUGAGCUCUUUAAGAUUUUCAGGUCUUAAUUUCAAAUGUUGUUAAGUCUUGUUUCAUGUUCUUCCUUGUUUCUGAACAAAGCGUCCUAACACGAUCUUUACAUUUUUAUGUGUUCAUAUUAAUGAAGAAUUAUGGGCACUCCAAAUGAAGAAACUUGGCCAGGUGUUGCUUCACUACCCGACUACAAAUCAGCUUUCCCAAAGUGGCCGCCUGUGGUAAAGGAGUGAAAAAAAUCAUAUAGUUUGAAUUUUGUGGAUAGUGGACAAAUUUAUGUAUGUGCCAUUUUUUUUAUUGGGCUGCUGGUUAAUUUUGGUUCUAACAUACUGUCCUGUCCAUGAUGCAGGAGCUUGCAACUGUGGUCCCAACACUUGAUGCUUCAGGACUUGAUCUUCUAUCUGUAAGUGACCUGUGGAUGUUAUUGAUUCCAUGUUGCAUUUCAUAAUAAUUUCCCCACAGAAACAAAGGCCACUUUUCCUUUGUGGUUUAGUCCAUUAUUUGUGUUCUAUAUAUUCAGCUUGGUGGUGUUUGGGUUGCUUAGUGGACUAUUGGGAUUGUUGCCAGGUUCUAAACUUGAGUUCCCACAUUAAUUCGGGAACAGAUGUGAACACAUCCUCUUCUCUGCAGUACAUAUUUCCAUGCUAUAAGCAGUAAACUGACAGUGGGUGCAGCUUGAUUGUCGACUAUCAGGAUGUAGCCAUGUAUUCAUUUAUCUUGCUAUGUUGGUCGCGGUGCUCUUUAUUAGUUUUAUGUAGGCAGGGAAGUCUCUUACAUAGAUAUUGGGUAGUUGGAGCCUGUCCAUUCGGAUUAUAUGGCUGUACCGCCAGUUACAUUAAACACCAAACAAAAGAUUGCAUUGCUUGGUAUAUGAACCUUAUAAUACUGACUUGGGCUGCAAUCUCUGUACAAAUUUAUUUUUUUAAUCCAUGUGGAGCACUAUAUGCUAAAUCACACGUAUCAGAAUUGGAGCACACACUAUCAAGGAUUAGAUGAUAUACUAUUAGUGGCAUUAUUUGCUUUCUACCCAUCAUUUCUCCAUCACAAACACUUAUAUUUUCAGUUUUUAUGCAUCCAUACCCUCGUUGACUGCUGUGCUCGCCUCACGCAGAAAAUGCUCCGUUUAGAUCCAAGCACAAGAAUCACCGCCCGUGCUGCCCUCGAGCACGAGUACUUCAAGGACCUGGAAGUAGCGUAGAUUAUGCUUCAUCUUGCCCCAUUGUAAAUUAAGAUUGCAUUGUUUGCUCAGCCGAGUUCUUUUUUUGCUUUUCUUAAUCUAAGU